This 879-nucleotide ribosomal RNA is filed under the name Trupanea crassipes. Its description in RNAcentral is "partial 16S ribosomal RNA". Lineage: Eukaryota; Metazoa; Arthropoda; Insecta; Diptera; Tephritidae. The record is from RNAcentral.
AUUAUUAGAAAUGAAAUGUUAUUCGUUUAUAAAGAUAUCUAGUUUUUUUAGAAAUAAAUUUAAUUUAAAAAUUUUUAAUUUUAUUAAUUAAUUGUAUUAAUUAAUAAAUUUAUAAAUUUAAAUAUUUUAAGGGAUAAGCUUUAGAAUAAAUUUUUAUAAAUUAAUAAAUGAUAAUUAAAAUUAUAUGCAUAGAAUUAGUAAUUAUUAAAAAUUUUGUUAUAAAUUAUUUUAUAAAAUAUAUUAUUUAUUAUAAUUUUAAAUUUUUAUAAAAAUAUUUUUUUUAAUUUUAUUUAAAAAGUAAUAAUGAUAAAAUUAGUAUAUUUAUAUUAUGUAAAUAUAAUUUAUUUUGAUAAGUUUAUAUAAAGAACUCGGCAAAUAUUUUACUCGCCUGUUUAACAAAAACAUGUCUUUUUGUGUUAUUUUUAAAGUCUAACCUGCCCAAUGAAUAAAUUUUAAUGGCCGCAGUAUUUUGACUGUGCAAAGGUAGCAUAAUCAUUAGUCUUUUAAUUGAAGGCUUGAAUGAAUGGUUGGACGAAGUAUAAUCUGUUUCAUUUAAAUUUAUUAUAGAAUUUUAUAUUUUAGUAAAAAAGCUGAAAUAUUUUUAAAAGACGAGAAGACCCUAUAAAUCUUUAUAAUUUAUAUUAUUUUUAUUUUUUAUAUUUAUUUUAUUUAAAUAAUUUGAAUUAUUUUGUUGGGGUGAUAUUAAAAUUUAAUAAACUUUUAAUUUAAUUAUUUCAUUAAUUUAUGUUUUAUUGAUCCAUUAAUAAUGAUUAAAAGAAUAAGUUACUUUAGGGAUAACAGCGUAAUUUUUUUGGAGAGUUCUUAUUGAUAAAAAAGUUUGCGACCUCGAUGUUGGAUUAAGAUAUAAUUUUAGGUGUA